AUUAGAAUUAGUACGCUUUGUC
RNAcentral lists this microRNA (22 nucleotides) under Heliconius melpomene (postman butterfly). RNAcentral describes it as "Hme-Mir-927-P2_5p (mature (guide))". Lineage: Eukaryota; Metazoa; Arthropoda; Insecta; Lepidoptera; Nymphalidae. The record is from RNAcentral.